Molecule: ribosomal RNA, 504 nt
Filed under: uncultured bacterium
Lineage: Bacteria
Description: partial 16S ribosomal RNA
Rfam family: Bacterial small subunit ribosomal RNA
Source: RNAcentral
UGGGGAAUAUUGCACAAUGGGCGAAAGCCUGAUGCAGCAACGCCGCGUGAGUGAUGAAGGUCUUCGGAUUGUAAAGCUCUGUCUUUUGGGACGAUAAUGACGGUACCAAAGGAGGAAGCCACGGCUAACUACGUGCCAGCAGCCGCGGUAAUACGUAGGUGGCGAGCGUUGUCCGGAUUUACUGGGCGUAAAGGGUGCGUAGGCGGAUGCUUAAGUGAGAUGUGAAAUACCCGGGCUUAACUUGGGUGCUGCAUUUCAAACUGGAUAUCUAGAGUGCAGGAGAGGAGAAUGGAAUUCCUAGUGUAGCGGUGAAAUGCGUAGAGAUUAGGAAGAACACCAGUGGCGAAGGCGAUUCUCUGGACUGUAACUGACGCUGAGGCACGAAAGCGUGGGUAGCAAACAGGAUUAGAUACCCUGGUAGUCCACGCCGUAAACGAUGAGUACUAGGUGUAGGAGGUAUCGACCCCUUCUGUGCCGCAGUAAACACAUUAAGUACUCCGCCUG